UGGGGCGUAGCCAAGUGGUAAGGCAGCGGAUUUUGAUUCCGCCAUUCGGAGGUUCGAUCCCUCCCGCCCCAG
RNAcentral lists this transfer RNA (72 nucleotides) under Bradyrhizobium erythrophlei. Its description in RNAcentral is "tRNA_Gln_TTG". It matches the Rfam family "tRNA". From Rfam's summary of the family: Transfer RNA (tRNA) molecules are approximately 80 nucleotides in length. Their secondary structure includes four short double-helical elements and three loops (D, anti-codon, and T loops). Further hydrogen bonds mediate the characteristic L-shaped molecular structure. tRNAs have two regions of fundamental functional importance: the anti-codon, which is responsible for specific mRNA codon recognition, and the 3' end, to which the tRNAs corresponding amino acid is attached (by aminoacyl-tRNA synthetases). tRNAs cope with the degeneracy of the genetic code in two manners: having more than one tRNA (with a specific anti-codon) for a particular amino acid; and 'wobble' base-pairing, i.e. permitting non-standard base-pairing at the 3rd anti-codon position. The record is from RNAcentral. RNAcentral also lists the same sequence under 2 other names. Lineage: Bacteria; Pseudomonadati; Pseudomonadota; Alphaproteobacteria; Hyphomicrobiales; Nitrobacteraceae.